GUAACUCAAGGGUAUAAGACAAAUUCACAGACAGCAGAACCAAGAGCAUUUUUCCAGGGAGAAUGACUAUGCCCUGAGGAACUAACAGCAUGUGUACAGAUAGAUUUUUAAAUCUAUGGAUGAGUCAUGGCAAUAUGCCUCUCUCUUUGCCUGUAAUUGAAUUGGGUGUCUAUCUUCCUGGUUCAUUCACAUCAUUACCCAAGCUAAAGCAGCCACAUGAAGAGGCUUACUUGGAAGACAACUUAAAACCUCAGCAGAAUGUCCAAUCAACAACCAGCAUGGACCUGCCAGUCAUGUGAGAAAACCAUCAUGGAAAUGGAUUCUUCAUCACCUUUCAAGCUGACAGGCCUGGUUUUGUACCUGACUUUAGCUAAUAGCUGUGCAAACUGUGUUGUUAUUUAGCCUCUAGGAACCUGGGUGCCCUAGCCAUCUCCAGUUACAAUGAUCAAUAUGCAGACACUAGAGCCAAGAGAGCCAGUAAAAGUCAGGACAAAUCUGGAGUUUCUGUUGGGAAGAAGCUAUAUCUACUGGACUUGACUCUGCCAGCAUAUCGUCAAAGCUAAGCACCAAUAAAACUAAUAGAGUACUGAUUACAUUGCUUACGUCUGCAUACGCAGCCAAGCUAAAGACAAUCUGCCCAGUUAUGCCAAUAAAUAAAUUGUCUUUUUUGUUGUGGUUGUUCUUUACUUUUUUUGGCUUGGUUUUGCCUAAGUCAUUUUGAGUUGGUUGCUCUUUCUUACUAUUAUUUUAACUAUUGUUUUAUGUAUAUAUGACUAGAGAAUAUUACAUAUCAAUUACAAUGUGGUCUAAUUACUAAAAUUAAUCCAUAUUAACAUUCCUCAAGGUAAAAACUGAAGCAAAUUUAGACAUGAAAAAUACAUCCCAGUACAGUUAUUUUUUUUAUUCCAUUUGAACCUUUAGAGUAUUAUGUUAAAGAGUAAAGACAAGAUUUUAGGAAACAAUAUUAUAUUUCAAGUCCAGAAAAUUAUCCUUUUUUAUGUUUAUUGAACAAUAUCUGUGAUAGUAUUCAGAAUUCAAAUUAUAAAUGAUGGUACUGCUACUGCCCUGACUUGGAAAUAUGAAGGCAGUCAGAUGUGAAACACCAAUGCUGUCAGCAUCAUUAUUCAUACAGAAAACCAAAACAAUGAGACAGUUCUCUGUUGUUAGCCUCUCUUUAAUCGCUUUUAUAUGGAUAAGAUGGUCUUUUUAGUAAGGACACACACACCAUUAACCAUUUUUAACUUCCAAUUGAACAAUAUAUUAUGGUACUUGUAGCAUCAAAUAUCUAAGUAAUUACUUGUGAAUGUUCAUACCUGUAUCAUAAGGAUAUGCAGGAAAGUAAACAGUUUAAUAUGUAACAGUAAAAAAAAAUCUGUUUAAUUUUAUUCAUACUUAAGUCUAAUGCUUGAAAACUAUUUCUUUAGAAAAUAUUUUUCAAUUUAUUUAUUUGAGAGAGAGAGACAGCAUGAGCUAGGGAAGGGAUGUGGGGAGGGGCAAAAGGAGAAAGAGAGAGGGAAUCUCCCAUAGCUUCCCCACUGAGCAGGGAUCUCCACAUAGGGCUUGAUCCCAGGACCAUGAGAUCAUGACUGGAGCGGAAGGCAGACACUUAACCAACUGAGGCACCCUGGUGCCCCAACUCUACGUAUUUCCAUGUGGAGGGUGAAACUAAGACAUCCAUGAUCCCUACCAUUCUAUUAGGGGAGCUAUUUUGGAACUUAAGAGUUUCUUCUGUUGAUACAGGGAGAGGUGAUUAUUCCUAUUGAAGAGAAAACACUAAAUUGAAGUGGUGCAGAGGCUAGAAAGAGUACAAGAAGAAAGUGGAGAUGACAGUGGAAAAGAGAAUGUUUCGGGAAGAGAACCUUCUUUUUUUUUUUUUUUAAGAUUUUAUUUAUUUACGCAGAAAGAGAAGCAGAGACACAAGCGGAGGAAGGGAAGAGAACCUUCUAUGGGAGACUCUCCUACCUACUAACAGAGCCUGUUAUACCGUCUGCCCUAUGAAGUCUAACGUGACAAGUGACAAAGUGUCCCCUCUGGUUCAUCUCUACUGGGAGCUUUGCAAAGAUCAGCUUGAACUUCAAUAAAAGAAACAUGCAUGCCAGUAUAUUUGGGUUAUUUCUGGGCAAAUUUCUUCUGUCAUCAGAAGCCAAUGGUCGACAGUGAGAGAUAGUUUCCCAGGCAACCCCAGAGAUGAGAAGCACUCUCAUACCUAUCCCCCAGUGGACAAGUUGUGAAGUAUUUGUUCUACCAUGAAACAUUUAUGCCUAUGAUGUGCCUCUAGCCCAUCCUUUAAAUUCCUUGAGCAGAGCCUGAUGGACACAUUACACUCAAAGAAUGUUUGUUAAAUAAAUGGCUUAGUGGAAGGCAGCUUAAGCAGAGCUUCUAUCUUCUGGUUGUCAAAGAUGACCCAAUAUUCAUUACUGGAAAAUGUUCUCAGAGUCUUUUUCGAGGAGUCAUAAAAAUUCUAACAAACUACUUAGUGUUGAAAUGCAAGACAGAAGUCUCAGAGGAAAACAGUCUAAGGUGGAGACGCCUGGGUGGUUCAGUGGUUGAGUGUCGGCCUUUGGCCCAGGGAGUGAUCCUG
Molecule: long non-coding RNA, 2581 nt
Organism: Canis lupus familiaris (dog)
Lineage: Eukaryota; Metazoa; Chordata; Mammalia; Carnivora; Canidae
Exons: 7
Source: RefSeq, a predicted model, not a curated record